RNAcentral lists this long non-coding RNA (220 nucleotides) under Phoenix dactylifera (date palm). RNAcentral's name for it is "long non-coding RNA (PDAC_LNC003145)". Lineage: Eukaryota; Viridiplantae; Streptophyta; Magnoliopsida; Arecales; Arecaceae. The record is from RNAcentral.
ACUAACCGAGAUCAUAACUUAGUCCAAGACAGACAAUCUCAUGCAUAAGUCCAUGGACAUUAUACCACGCAUAAAUCUGUGGAGGCUAUCCCAUGCAUAAGCUCGAGGUUGCCAUCCUAUGGCUAAAUUAAUCCAAAUCAUACUCAUCAGUCUCAUUUACAAGUUAUAUGCACUUGUGAUCCAGGCAUCCACUUCAAAUCUCCUACCCGCGAUCUCAAUC